This is a non-coding RNA of Paralichthys olivaceus (Japanese flounder), 553 nucleotides long. Lineage: Eukaryota; Metazoa; Chordata; Actinopteri; Pleuronectiformes; Paralichthyidae. The record is from RefSeq and is a predicted model, not a curated record.
UUCAACACACAAGUCCAGGCCAGCAGGAGAAGAGCAAAGUACAAAGCUCUUUCCAGAUAUUUAUAUAUAAUGAACUAACUCUGAAUUGAUUCUGAACAAGAAAAGAAAACAUAAACUGCAAAGUGGGUAUGUUAUUAUGUUUGAGUUCAUCAAGCAUGCUGGUAUGAUAAUUGAAAGUGAACGCUGAAGGUUCCUUGUUCUCACAGUCACUCUCAAGCACCUGUGAGGCCACACCUUGAUUUACAACACGAAACUAUGAGUCACUGCAGGGAGGAAACGAUUCGCUGUCUGACUGAAGAACUACGUGUCCCAUGAUGCCCCGCGCUCAAGAUGAGCAAAUGGAACUCGGAGCGGAGCGGCGGCGGUGACAGCUGAGUUCGGCGAGGAGCGCGACAGAGAGCACGGACACACUCAGGACACACUCAGGACAGGACAGAAGCCGGCCGGUAAAGCAGCACUAGCGGCAGAGAUAAUUUAAUUUGAUGGGGAUACACUAAACAAGACAGUACCCUCUCCUGCACAGAUCAUCACAUGCUAACAUAACCACUGCAGC